This 253-nucleotide ribosomal RNA is filed under the name uncultured bacterium. Its description in RNAcentral is "partial 16S ribosomal RNA". It matches the Rfam family "Bacterial small subunit ribosomal RNA", at positions 524 to 776 of the family's 1533-position model. The record is from RNAcentral.
UACGUAGGGGGCUAGCGUUGUCCGGAUUUAUUGGGCGUAAAGAGCGUGUAGGCGGCCAUGUAGGUCCGGUGUGAAAACUCGAGGCUUAACCUCGAGAUGUCAUCGGAAACCAUUUGGCUAGAGUCCGGAAGAGGAGAGUGGAAUUCCUGGUGUAGCGGUGAAAUGCGCAGAUAUCAGGAAGAACACCAAUGGCGAAGGCAGCUUGCUGGGACGGUACUGACGCUGAGACGCGAAAGCGUGGGGAGCAAACAGG